Pteropus vampyrus (large flying fox) is the source of this 261-nucleotide unclassified non-coding RNA. Its record names the gene 7SK. It matches the Rfam family "7SK RNA". Rfam says of the family: 7SK was discovered as an abundant small nuclear RNA in the mid-70s but a possible function has only recently been suggested. Two independent studies have found that 7SK RNA binds the CDK9/cyclin T complex (known as elongation factor P-TEFb). The record is from Ensembl. NCBI's taxonomy places the organism in Eukaryota, Metazoa, Chordata, Mammalia, Chiroptera, Pteropodidae.
GAAGGUGAGGGUGAUCUGACUGUGACAUCUAUCACCCCAUUGAUCACCAGGGUCAACUAGGCUGAUCUGGCUGGCUAGAUGGGUGUCCCUUCCCACCGUCACUGCUCCACGUGCAUUCUCCCCAAAGAUGCGUGCUUGGUCGAAGUGGAUGACCUUCUCCGGUAGAGAAGGACCAUUCUUCAGUCAAGGGUAUACGAGAAGCUGCACUUCCCUGCAACACAGCCAAAAUUGAGUACUGCAUGUAGCAGUCUGCCUUUCUUA